RNAcentral lists this ribosomal RNA (316 nucleotides) under marine sediment metagenome. Its description in RNAcentral is "LSU rRNA". It matches the Rfam family "Bacterial large subunit ribosomal RNA", at positions 2429 to 2743 of the family's 2925-position model. The record is from RNAcentral.
CCGUGUGGAAGGGCCGUAGCUUAACGGAUAAAAGCUACCCCGGGGAUAACAGGCUUAUCUUGCCCAAGAGUUCACAUCGACGGCAAGGUUUGGCACCUCGAUGUCGGCUCGUCGCAUCCUGGGGCUGAAGCAGGUCCCAAGGGUUGGGCUGUUCGCCCAUUAAAGCGGCACGCGAGCUGGGUUCAGACCGUCGUGAGACAGGUCGGUCUCUAUCCGUCGUGGGCGUCCGGAGAUUUGAGGGGAGCUCUCUCUAGUACGAGAGGACCGAGAGGGACAGACCUAUGGUGUGCCAGUUGUCCCGCCAGGGGCAUCGCUG